This is a long non-coding RNA of Triplophysa rosa, 2025 nucleotides long. RefSeq lists it as uncharacterized. The transcript has 5 exons. NCBI's taxonomy places the organism in Eukaryota, Metazoa, Chordata, Actinopteri, Cypriniformes, Nemacheilidae. The record is from RefSeq and is a predicted model, not a curated record.
UGUACCGUAUCACCACUGGAGUAUCAGCAUUAGUGAAUAUUAGGUCAGUUGCGUUGAGCAUUCAUGAUGAUGGACUAUUACACCAGCGUCAGAGAGAACCUGAGAUUGAUAGAAACCUGCUGUUGGUUCUGAGUGUGCUCCAUAGUGUACGAGUGAAGGAUAAUUUGGGUAGCCAAGACACUCCCUGUGUGGACGGUUCUACCUGGCAAAGUCAGUGUCUCUGCAUGUUCAUCUGCUUCUGUGGCCUGCCUUUAUAUGCUGCUCUUGUGCUUAAGGAGCUUGUGACAUCUGUAGAGGACUGACAGAGGUAUGGAUCAUUUAAACCAUGGAUAUAGUGCAAACAUCUUUUAAAGAAUACUGGGAAGUUGAAGAGCAACCAAACCAACAGCCUAUUGGAGAACCCUGCAUCAGCUUCAAGGAUGGCCUCCAGCAUUUCAGUGAUGGAUGUUAUAUAAAUGGUGGAUAUAACGCUGGAUUUGGAGAUCGUUUGAAAUGGAUAGAUGGCGCGAUCCCAGUGCUAAAAGAUGCCCGACAUGAACUGCACGCGAAACUAACGCAAGAGUGAAACCUCCAUCCUCCCGACCACCACCAGGUCAGGCCCUGUCCUCGGUCUGGGGGUAGGCUCCGCCCCUGCCUUUAUCUCAUGCAGGAACUUCUAGAAUCCUACUCCCCAGGAUUCCUUCGUUGGACGGGGCCUACGCCAAAGAUCUUCAUAUAUCUUACAUUAUAUCUUUUGUUAAUAAAUAUUAUUUAUCAUUCUAUGUCUUUCUGGUAGAAAUGGUACGUUCCACGAGUAUAAAAGGAGAUGAAACUGACAUCUAACUAGGCACGUCAUACGGGGCCUUGGAAGUGACGUGAUUUCCGGUGCGUUGGCUGUAUGUUCAGGAGUGACUCGGAGGGGGCCUGGAGGUGUUGCAGCAGGCUUUAUAGGCGCUAUUUGGGUGUUGUGAUCUCUUGUUUGAGCAAUAUAAACUACUAUUACCUGCAUGUGGAUGCCUGAACCGGAGUGCUUCCGGACAGGUCGGAUGCUUUCGUUUCUCUUCACGUUGAUCUGUUUGACCACUCUUCUGCCAUAUACCGGAUGACGUAUUUGUUCCAGCUUUGUGUGUAACACUCAUCCAGUCAAUUGACCAUCUCAUUUCAGUGAACAAGGACCCUCUUGAUGAUCGGAACAGUAGCAUGUUUCCGCCCGAUGGUGAUGCAUUUAAAACUAGUUGUGUCAAACGUCUGUUGACCUGAGGACUUGAAGUGGGGUAAUUACCGUGGCAACGAGUUACGCGUUUGUCACUGCUACUGUAUGUUAUCGUACCUAUUUUUGUUAUUUUGUUUUCUUUUGAAUUUAUUUGUUUGAACCUGUUGUUUCUUUUUGUAUGUUGAUUAUAAACUACUUGAUUGUCCCUUAUAGGGUCAUUCGGUGAUGCCAAGUCUAUGGGCACCGGCUAGUGUGGGUUGCCAUUAAGGGACGAUAAUUGGUUUUCCUUGGCAGUACUUGAUAAGUGUUAUCGACAGUCUCGACAGUCCCCAAAUUGAAACGUGUAUAUGUUUGUGUGCUUGUGUUUUCUUUUCUUUUCAGAAUUGGAGGAUCAGUAUUAGCCAGGAUCCUCUGUGUUUGGGGUGGUACGGUUGUCGGUCUGCAGUGUUCACAACGGGGGUGUUGGUGCUGUGUUGUGAGAGAGCAUGAGUGGUUGCUGAGUUAUUAAAUGGGCAGGAUGAUUUCCCCAAUUCUGAAGUGGUGAAAGUGUGUGUUUGCGUGAGGGUAUGUGGUGUUUUAUGCUGGAUAUAUCCCUUUUAACUGCUACAUAUUAAAGACUAGUUUUGUAUUUUAUAUUGAAUGUGUUUUGAAUAAAUUGUAUGAAAUCUUCUAUCGUUGUCUGAUACCUGUCUCAGCCACUGCGUAUCUGUGUGCUUUUGGUACUUUGCUACCUGUGGGUCCCCGGCCCAUUUAAAAAGUGUGAAGUGAAAGUGACCUAUUAGUCAGAUAUGGUGACCCAUACCCGAAAUGUGACCUCUGCAUUUAACCCAUCC